This 472-nucleotide ribosomal RNA is filed under the name uncultured bacterium. Its description in RNAcentral is "bacterial SSU rRNA". It matches the Rfam family "Bacterial small subunit ribosomal RNA", at positions 26 to 518 of the family's 1533-position model. The record is from RNAcentral.
AGGACGAACGCUGGCGGUGUGCCUCAUACAUGCAAGUCGAACGAUAAGGUCUCUUCGGAGAUACAUAAGUGGCGGACGGGUGAGUACAACAUAGGAAAUCUGCCCUAAAGCGGGGGACAACAGAGGAAACUUCUGCUAAUACCCCAUAUGAGCUUAGUUGAAAUACUAAUCUUGAAAGAUUUAUCACUUUAGGAUGAGCCUGUGCCUGAUUAGCUGGUUGGUGGUGUAAUGGACUACCAAGGCGACGAUCAGUAGCUGGUUUGAGAGGAUGAUCAGCCACAAUGGGACUGAGACACGGCCCAUACUCCUACGGGAGGCAGCAGUAGGGAAUUUUGCGCAAUGGGCGAAAGCCUGAACCGCAGCAACACCGCGUGAAUGUUAAGCCCUUCGGGGUGUAAAGUUCUGUCAGUAGGGAAGAACAAAUGACCGUACCUGCAAAGGAAGCACCGGCUAACUCCGUGCCAGCCGCUGC